This 93-nucleotide transfer RNA is filed under the name Synergistaceae bacterium. RNAcentral's name for it is "tRNA-Ser". It matches the Rfam family "tRNA". Rfam says of the family: Transfer RNA (tRNA) molecules are approximately 80 nucleotides in length. Their secondary structure includes four short double-helical elements and three loops (D, anti-codon, and T loops). Further hydrogen bonds mediate the characteristic L-shaped molecular structure. tRNAs have two regions of fundamental functional importance: the anti-codon, which is responsible for specific mRNA codon recognition, and the 3' end, to which the tRNAs corresponding amino acid is attached (by aminoacyl-tRNA synthetases). tRNAs cope with the degeneracy of the genetic code in two manners: having more than one tRNA (with a specific anti-codon) for a particular amino acid; and 'wobble' base-pairing, i.e. permitting non-standard base-pairing at the 3rd anti-codon position. The record is from RNAcentral. Lineage: Bacteria; Thermotogati; Synergistota; Synergistia; Synergistales; Synergistaceae. RNAcentral also lists the same sequence under 3 other names.
GGAGGGAUGGCCGAGUGGUCGAAGGCGGGCGACUCGAAAUCGUCUAGGCGGUGAUGAGCCGUCUCGUGGGUUCAAAUCCCACUCUCUCCGCCA